This 468-nucleotide ribosomal RNA is filed under the name uncultured bacterium. RNAcentral's name for it is "partial 16S ribosomal RNA". It matches the Rfam family "Bacterial small subunit ribosomal RNA", at positions 28 to 507 of the family's 1533-position model. The record is from RNAcentral.
GACGCCCGCUUUCUUCUUGCUUAACACAUGCAAGUCGAACGGAAAGGCCCUGCUUUUGUGGGGUGCUCGAGAGGCGAACGGGUGAGUAACACGUGAGUAACCUGCCCUUGACUUUGGGAUAACUUCAGGAAACUGGGGCUAAUACCGGAUAGGAGCUCCUGCUGCAUGGUGGGGGUUGGAAAGUUUCGGCGGUUGGGGAUGGACUCGCGGCUUAUCAGCUUGUUGGUGGGGUAGUGGCUUACCAAGGCUUUGACGGGUAGCCGGCCUGAGAGGGUGACCGGCCACAUUGGGACUGAGAUACGGCCCAGACUCCUACGGGAGGCAGCAGUGGGGAAUAUUGCACAAUGGGCGGAAGCCUGAUGCAGCAACGCCGCGUGCGGGAUGACGGCCUUCGGGUUGUAAACCGCUUUCGCCUGUGACGAAGCGUGAGUGACGGUAAUGGGUAAAGAAGCACCGGCUAACUACGUG